RNAcentral lists this ribosomal RNA (443 nucleotides) under Pseudomonas aeruginosa. Its description in RNAcentral is "partial 23S ribosomal RNA". It matches the Rfam family "Bacterial large subunit ribosomal RNA", at positions 2020 to 2462 of the family's 2925-position model. Lineage: Bacteria; Pseudomonadati; Pseudomonadota; Gammaproteobacteria; Pseudomonadales; Pseudomonadaceae. The record is from RNAcentral.
CUCCACCCGAGACUCAGUGAAAUUGAACUCGCUGUGAAGAUGCAGUGUACCCGCGGCAAGACGGAAAGACCCCGUGAACCUUUACUAUAGCUUGACACUGAACAUUGAGCCUUGAUGUGUAGGAUAGGUGGGAGGCUUUGAAGCGUGGACGCCAGUCUGCGUGGAGCCGACCUUGAAAUACCACCCUUUAAUGUUUGAUGUUCUAACGUUGGCCCCUGACCGGGGUUGCGGACAGUGUCUGGUGGGUAGUUUGACUGGGGCGGUCUCCUCCCAAAGCGUAACGGAGGAGCACGAAGGUUAGCUAAUCCUGGUCGGACAUCAGGAGGUUAGUGCAAUGGCAUAAGCUAGCUUGACUGCGAGCGUGACGGCGCGAGCAGGUGCGAAAGCAGGUCAUAGUGAUCCGGUGGUUCUGAAUGGAAGGGCCAUCGCUCAACGGAUAAAAG